AUGAAAUUACACAGAACAAUGGUAAUUAUACAGAUGAUGAGAGCAAAUGGAAAAUAUUGGACUAUUGACAAUUUUCGUGAGUUGAGUCCGGAGUUUAAAAGUAUUAUGGGAAUAGACAGUGAAGAAGUACAAGUGAUACGUUGGAUAUACCCUAUUGUUGGACUCCCACAAGCACCACCUCCUAAAUCUCCUCAAGUUGUCAUAAAAUGUCAGACCAGAAAACAGGUAGAAGAGACCGUGGAAAUCAUACUGACUGCUGGUUUUUUCGGACAUAGUCCUACUCCGGAAAUGAAAGAAUUUUUAGUAAUUCCAAAAAGAAAUUCAUUUAAUUUUGGUGAGGAUAUGAAUGAGAUUCCUAAGAUACGUCAGUUUCAGUAUGAAAUUGAAUAUGAAUCUGAAGCUAUGAAGUAUAAGUUGGAACCCUGUAUAGCUUUACAUUUGAUUAAAAAAUCUUAUGAUAUUAUGGCUGAAAGUAUAAUAUUGAUCUUCAAUCUGAUAUUCUCACCAAAUAUGCCAUUAAGGACUGAAAUAACACUGAAAAUAGAGUGCAUAACAGAUGGGAUCUGGAAGUUUCCCAUAAGGGUGAUCGCUACUGAACCUGAUGUGGAUGCUGUCAUUGAUAUUGAAGGAGUUGGUUUAUUUAAGGAAUCUGUUUCUGACUUUAGGCUGACAAGUCAGACAAGAUAUCCUGAGCCAUUCACUGCAUACUUCUUACCUGGCAGUGAUCCGGAGUUUUUUGUAAGACCAGAGGUUGGAAAACUUCUUCCUUUUGACACAAACGGAACUCCAAUCAUUGUAGGAUUUAAACCUAAAAUGUACUGUAGGAAAUAUAAAGCAACAUUAGUAAUACAGACAGAAAAAAUGUUCCGGAUGUAUAAGAUCAAUGGAUUACCUCCAACUACCAUGCCACCGAUCAAUGCAAAAGCCAAAAUUGAUGCUACUAACAAGACAUUUGACAACAGGCCAGUUCAGCUGCGUAACUUUGUCCGUGAAAAUACUAAGCUCAUAAGAAAAAGUAUGUCUUCCUCCACCAAGGGUGCUUCUAUGAUGAGGAAGUAUAAAUAAAAUUUUUUUCCAAAAUAUUUCUUUGUCUCAUGUAGAAUUUUGAUGACUAUUAUUUCAUCUUUUGGAAUAUUUCUGAGGAAUAAUGGUUUAAUUUAAUAGGCCUUCUAUAUUUCAUUGUCCUUUAAAAUGCAAUCUAUUCUCUGAAUUUAACAUACUUCAUUUCUGAGUUAUGAGUGUUUCUUGAAAGUGGACUUUGGUUGCAAAUAUUGGAAUUGGUUCACUUUUAACAUGCAGGUGUGUAUUUGUGGUAAAAUGAAAUAUAAUUUAAAUAACAAUAUUUCUAAUAACAGUAUUGCUAAUAAAGCUAAAUUUCUCAUGUAAAUAUUGCUUGUUGGUCUUUAUGUUUUAAUUGACAACUAAAAAUUGUAUACAUUUAUGGUAUACAACAUAUUUUGAAAUCGACAUACAUUGUAGCAUGGUUAGCCUGAGCUAAUUAAUACAUGUAUUACCUUACAUACUUAAUUUUUGUUUUAAGAACACUUAAAAUAUACUUAGCCACUUUCAGAUAUAUAAUACAUUGUUAGUAACUAUUGCCAUCAUGUUGUACAGCAGAUCUCUUGAACUUAUUCUUCCUAUCUAACUGAAAAUUUGUAUACUUUAACCAACAUCUCCCAAUCAUCCUGACUUACCCCACCGAGCCCCUGGUAAUCAGCAUUCUACUCUUGUAUGAGUUCGCUAUUUUUAGAUUUCAGAUAUAAAUGAGAUCAUGCAGUAUUUGUUUUUCUGUGUCUGGCUUGUUUUACUUAAUGUCAUAUCUUCCAGGUUCAUCCAUGUUGUCACAAAUGGCAGGAUUUCCUUCUUUUUCAAGGCUGAACGGUAUCUCAUUGUGUAUAUAUUUCAAAUACUAGUGUUGUUAUUAAAGCUCAAUUUCCCCUGUGUAUGUUGCUUGUGAGUCUUCAAAAUGAUUAAAUUAGCACUCAAGGCAGAAAGAUUGACCAUUUCUUAUAUCUGCUUUUAAAAAUAUAUGUUUAUAUCUUAUAUCUUCUAUUUGGAAUAUUAUGUGCUAUUUAGAAAGUAAUUAAAAAUUCCAUGUAUAUAUGUGUAUGUAGUUCAUCUGCUUUUAUUUUGCAGCAUUGAAAUAAUAUAAAUAUAUAUCAAAAUGAUCCAGGAGGAAGUUCAUUUUGAUGUGUGUCUGAUCCUUUUCAAUAAUGUAUUAAUCGAAGUAAAAGGGAGUAUGUUGUUUGGUACUUGUCAUUAAAGGUAAGCCAGUGUGGACCAGCUUUAAGAUAUUUUGACACAAACUGACUGGCUUUACUACAAAACAUUCAUGUAUUCUUAAGCAGGUUGCUUACCCUAUUUUGUUGUUUCCAAAAUGAAGCGACUGUACUAGGACAGAGGUUGGCAUACUAUGGCCCAUGAGACGACUGUAGACUGUCCCCUAUUUUUAUAUAGCUAGGAACAGUUUUUACACCGUUAAAUGGUUGAAAAAAUAAAUAGAAGAAUACUGUGUGAUAUAAAAACAUAAUAUAACGUUCAAAUUUCACUGCCUAUAAAUAAGGAUUUACUAGAAUACAGCACGAUCACUU
Molecule: long non-coding RNA, 2591 nt
Organism: Aotus nancymaae (Ma's night monkey)
Lineage: Eukaryota; Metazoa; Chordata; Mammalia; Primates; Aotidae
Source: Ensembl